UCCGGGGUCGUCUAACGGCAAGACGCGGGCCUUUGGAGCCUGAAAUGGAGGUUCGACCCCUCCCCCCGGAACCG
RNAcentral lists this transfer RNA (74 nucleotides) under Actinomycetes bacterium. RNAcentral describes it as "Actinobacteria bacterium tRNA-Gln". It matches the Rfam family "tRNA". Rfam says of the family: Transfer RNA (tRNA) molecules are approximately 80 nucleotides in length. Their secondary structure includes four short double-helical elements and three loops (D, anti-codon, and T loops). Further hydrogen bonds mediate the characteristic L-shaped molecular structure. tRNAs have two regions of fundamental functional importance: the anti-codon, which is responsible for specific mRNA codon recognition, and the 3' end, to which the tRNAs corresponding amino acid is attached (by aminoacyl-tRNA synthetases). tRNAs cope with the degeneracy of the genetic code in two manners: having more than one tRNA (with a specific anti-codon) for a particular amino acid; and 'wobble' base-pairing, i.e. permitting non-standard base-pairing at the 3rd anti-codon position. The record is from RNAcentral. Lineage: Bacteria; Bacillati; Actinomycetota; Actinomycetes.